This 335-nucleotide ribosomal RNA is filed under the name uncultured bacterium. Its description in RNAcentral is "bacterial SSU rRNA". It matches the Rfam family "Bacterial small subunit ribosomal RNA", at positions 1 to 334 of the family's 1533-position model. The record is from RNAcentral.
ACAGAUCGUUCAGAGUUUGAUCCUGGCUCAGGACGAACGCUGGCGGCGUGCUUAACACAUGCAAGUCGAACGGAAAGGCCCCGCUUGCGGGGUACUCGAGUGGCGAACGGGUGAGUAACACGUGGGUGAUCUACCCUGCACUUCGGGAUAAGCCUGGGAAACUGGGUCUAAUACCGGAUAGGACCCCUCUUUAGUGUGGGGGGUGGAAAGUUUUUUCGGUGUGGGAUGAGCCCGCGGCCUAUCAGCUUGUUGGUGGGGUAAUGGCCUACCAAGGCGUCGACGGGUAGCCGGCCUGAGAGGGUGGACGGCCACAUUGGGACUGAGAUACGGCCCAG